CAUAUACUCCCUCCGUUCGGAAUUACUUGUCUCGGAAAUGGAUGUAGAACUAAAAUACGUCUAGAUACAUCCAUUUCUGCGACAAGUAAUUCCGAGCGGAGGGAGUACAUU
Molecule: non-coding RNA, 111 nt
Organism: Triticum aestivum (bread wheat)
Lineage: Eukaryota; Viridiplantae; Streptophyta; Magnoliopsida; Poales; Poaceae
Source: Rfam